UCCUACGGGAGGCAGCAGUGAGGAAUAUUGGUCAAUGGCCGAGAGGCUGAACCAGCCAAGUCGCGUGAGGGAUGACGGCCCUACGGGUUGUAAACCUCUUUUGUCGGGGAGCAAGACCCGCCACGAGUGGCGGAGCGAGAGUACCCGAAGAAAAAGCAUCGGCUAACUCCGUGCCAGCAGCCGCGGUAAUACGGAGGAUGCGAGCGUUAUCCGGAUUUAUUGGGUUUAAAGGGUGCGUAGGCGGAAUAUCAAGUCAGCGGUAAAAAUUCGGGGCUCAACCCCGUCGUGCCGUUGAAACUGAUUUU
RNAcentral lists this ribosomal RNA (305 nucleotides) under uncultured bacterium. Its description in RNAcentral is "bacterial SSU rRNA". It matches the Rfam family "Bacterial small subunit ribosomal RNA", at positions 337 to 640 of the family's 1533-position model. The record is from RNAcentral.